UUAACACAUGCAAGUCGAGGGGUAGCAGGGUAGGCAAUACCGCUGACGACCGACGCACGGGUGAGUAACACGUAUCCAACCUUCCCAUAACUCAGGGAUAGCCUUUCGAAAGAAAGAUUAAUACCUGAUAGUACUUUUUCAAGGCAUCUUGAGAAGUUAAAGAUUAUUGGUUAUGGAUGGGGAUGCGUUCCAUUAGAUAGUUGGUGAGGUAACGGCUCACCAAGUCUUCGAUGGAUAGGGGUUCUGAGAGGAAGGUCCCCCACAUUGGUACUGAGACACGGACCAAACUCCUACGGGAGGCAGCAGUGAGGAAUAUUGGUCAAUGGGCGAGAGCCUGAACCAGCCAAGUAGCGUGAAGGAUGAAAGGUCCUAUGGAUUGUAAACUUCUUUUAUAGUAGAAUAAAGUGAUCCACGUGUGGAUUUUUGUAUGUAUACUAUGAAUAAGGAUCGGCUAACUCCGUGCCAGCAGCAGC
This 473-nucleotide ribosomal RNA is filed under the name uncultured bacterium. RNAcentral's name for it is "bacterial SSU rRNA". It matches the Rfam family "Bacterial small subunit ribosomal RNA", at positions 48 to 518 of the family's 1533-position model. The record is from RNAcentral.